CAUUGCUGCUGCUACCUGCUUUCCAGAGCCUUUCAUCAAUGAAGGAAAGCGGCUGGGCUAUAUCCAUCGAAAUUUUGCUGGAAACAGAUUUUCUGAUCACGUAGCCCUUUUAUCAGUAUUCCAAGCCUGGGAUGAUGCUAGAAUGGGUGGAGAAGAAGCAGAGAUACGUUUUUGUGAGCACAAAAGACUGAAUAUGGCUACACUAAGAAUGACCUGGGAAGCCAAAGUUCAGCUCAAAGAGAUUUUGAUUAAUUCUGGGUUUCCAGAAGAUUGUUUGUUGACACAAGUGUUUACUAACACUGGACCAGAUAAUAAUUUGGAUGUUGUUAUCUCCCUCCUGGCCUUUGUAGCCAAGACAUGAAGUACCCAUCUCCCUUCUUUGUAUUUGGUGAAAAGAUUCGAACUCGAGCCAUCUCUGCUAAAGGCAUGACUUUAGUCACCCCCCUGCAGUUGCUUCUCUUUGCCUCCAAGAAAGUCCAAUCUGAUGGGCAGAUUGUGCUUGUAGAUGACUGGAUUAAACUGCAAAUAUCUCAUGAAGCUGCUGCCUGUAUCACUGGUCUCCGGGCAGCCAUGGAGGCUCUGGUUGUUGAAGUAACCAAACAACCUGCUAUCAUCAGCCAGUUGGACCCCGUAAAUGAACGUAUGCUGAACAUGAUCCGUCAGAUCUCUAGACCCUCAGCUGCUGGUAUCAACCUUAUGAUUGGCAGUACACGGUAUGGAGAUGGUCCACGUCCUCCCAAGAUGGCCCGAUAUGACAAUGGAAGUGGAUAUAGAAGGGGAGGUUCUAGUUACAGUGGUGGAGGCUAUGGCAGUGGCUAUAGCAGUGGAGGCUAUGGUAGCGGAGGCUAUGGUGGCAGUGCCAACUCCUUUCGGGCAGGAUAUGGUGGUGUUGGUGGAGGCUAUAGAGGAGUUUCCCGAGGUGGCUUUAGAGGCAACUCUGGAGGAGACUACAGAGGGCCUAGUGGAGGCUACAGAGGAUCUGGGGGAUUCCAGCGAGGAGGUGGUAGGGGGGCCUAUGGAACUGGCUACUUUGGACAGGGAAGAGGAGGUGGCGGCUAUUAAAACUUGGUUAUGUCAGUUCCUGUGUGUAGACAGUAAGGAAAAAAAGGCAUGCUAUGUGUUACGUGUUUCUUCCAGUAUGUUUAUUUGCCACCAAAAAGUAAAUGCAUUUUCACCCAUUCUGUGGUUCAUUGUAGUUUAAGGAAACCAAGCAUAUAGAUGCAUUAGUGAUUUUGUUUAUAUUAUGUAAAAUAUAACGAUCUCUUAAAAAUACCACAGUUUGUAUUUUUUCUUUAAGGAGUAAAGAUUUGCCUUUAAAUAACUUGGUAUUUUCCUGGCUUUCGUUUAAUACAAUAGAAAAUAAAGUAUUACACCG
This 1375-nucleotide small RNA is filed under the name Pongo abelii (Sumatran orangutan). RNAcentral's name for it is "processed transcript". The record is from RNAcentral. Lineage: Eukaryota; Metazoa; Chordata; Mammalia; Primates; Hominidae.